Molecule: ribosomal RNA, 535 nt
Filed under: Pseudomonas sp.
Lineage: Bacteria; Pseudomonadati; Pseudomonadota; Gammaproteobacteria; Pseudomonadales; Pseudomonadaceae
Description: bacterial SSU rRNA
Rfam family: Bacterial small subunit ribosomal RNA
Source: RNAcentral
CACAUGCAAGUCGAGCGGAUGAAGAGAGCUUGCUCUCUGAUUCAGCGGCGGACGGGUGAGUAAUGCCUAGGAAUCUGCCUGGUAGUGGGGGACAACGUUUCGAAAGGAACGCUAAUACCGCAUACGUCCUACGGGAGAAAGCAGGGGACCUUCGGGCCUUGCGCUAUCAGAUGAGCCUAGGUCGGAUUAGCUAGUUGGUGAGGUAAUGGCUCACCAAGGCGACGAUCCGUAACUGGUCUGAGAGGAUGAUCAGUCACACUGGAACUGAGACACGGUCCAGACUCCUACGGGAGGCAGCAGUGGGGAAUAUUGGACAAUGGGCGAAAGCCUGAUCCAGCCAUGCCGCGUGUGUGAAGAAGGUCUUCGGAUUGUAAAGCACUUUAAGUUGGGAGGAAGGGUUGUAGAUUAAUACUCUGCAAUUUUGACGUUACCGACAGAAUAAGCACCGGCUAACUCUGUGCCAGCAGCCGCGGUAAUACAGAGGGUGCAAGCGUUAAUCGGAAUUACUGGGCGUAAAGCGCGCGUAGGUGGUUUG